UUAUUCUUGCAAAUUAUAAAGUUUGGGGCCCAAUUGAAAGCAUCCAGAAGUUCAAGGACCAUUCGCGCUAUUAUGGAAGGUCUGCAAGAUUAAAAUAUUUGAGGCUGGAUCAAAAGGACGUUUCUAACAAUUCAACAGUUUCGGGGUCAAAUCGUAAUUAUCUGAAACGUGAAGGGCCAGAUGUGCAAAUAAGGCUGAGAUCAUCAUCGUCGUUCUUCUUGCCCACUUCGAUCCGCGACGGCGAGCUUGAUUCCGACGAUGAGCACGGCCACGAUGAUGAAGCUGAGCAUGACGAAGAAGACGGAGCUGAGUGUAAGGCGGACCGAGCAACGGGGAGAUACAUCAGAGCUUGACGGUUGGUUCCAAAGAUUCCAUGGCGGACUCAUGUCGAGGAAGAAGCUGGAAUCACGGUGGCUAGGAUCUGAGAGCACGAGGGGGAGAAGGAGACAACCGCGCAGUCACGGGAUCUAACAAAACGCGGUGAUGUUUGGAGGAUUGCGACGGCUUGGCCAUGGCGAAGAAGAAGAAGUCAAGCUCAGCUAGAGAUCUGCAGCGGCUUGUUACAGAGGUCCAGAGACACCGCUCGGAAUUCAGUGGGCUCGGACGCGACCACUGGUUGUGGGUUUGUGACACCGCGCGGCAUGGAAGCGGAAGUUGGAGCGACCAUUGGGAGCGGGCACGAGACAUAGCUCGCACACGUCGAGCUUGCAGCGGUCACGGGCAGCGGGCUGAAGUGGUCGCUGUGCCUCACACGAUCCAUGGAGCGGAUGUUCGGAGCGGGAUCACGAAGCUGCUCUCACUCUUUGGUUUGUCGAAUUUUAUUUAUUUUAUGUGCCUUUUUGAGAUUUGUUAAUUGGUCCAUUCGUUUUUAGAAGUCCUAUAUAUAUAUAUAUUUUAGAACUAAAAAUGAGGGAUAUCUUGUUUUCUCUGAAAAUACAUUUGAUACUUUGGAGAAAGUUUGAAUCUUUAGUAAUUUAAUCUUUAUUUCUUGAGUAAUUUGAGUCUUUCUCAUUUUCUUGGCAUGAUUUCUCUUGAAUCUAUUAUGGGUUUAAGGUUAAUCACGAAGAUUAGUGAAUAGACUCUUUUUGGAUUCAUGAGUUAUGAUGAUUAGGAUGAUUAAGUGAUGAUCUAGAAUGUUUAGAGUAGAUUAAUAUGUUUCUUUGCUUGAUUGAGUGAUCUUAAUGCUAAUAUAGAGUUAGCCAUUUUAGAUUAGAAAUCUAGACAUUUCAUUGCCCGGAAGGUGUUCGAUGAAUUGUCUAAGCCAACUCAACAUGCUCUUAGCUUACCCUACCAAAGGCAUUUGAUGUUAGGGGAGUUUAGAAAGUUGAAUGAUCUGUUCUUAAUGAUUGCUUGAUUGCCACAAACCAAAGGCAUUUGAUUUUUGAUCAAUGAGAGUAAAUGAGAUUUUGUCUUGACAAAGAACUUGUUUAGAAUUGUUAUCUAGACUUAGGAGAAUGUGUUGAUUGAAACCUUGCCAUUUUAGAUUGAAUCUUAGUCAUUUGAAAUCAAAUUCCUAUACCCAUGAUUUCUCUUUUAUCAAUUUGCUUAAAAGUUGCUAGUUAAUUGUGUUAGAGUCUUGUUAGCUUAAUCAAAUCACUUCAUUACAUUGAAUGCAUUUAGCUUAAGCAUGAGCCUGAAUUCUCUUUGAACUGAAACACUUAGAAAUAAAUUGACAUCUAAAAUACUACAUUGAUUUGAACCUUGGACCCUUGAAAAGUCCAUAUCAAAUUUGGCGCCGUUGCCAAUUCUAAGUUGAUUUUGAUAUUGAGAUUUUGUGCUUGCUUGAGACUAAGUUUUAUUUUCUUGUAUCUAGUUACUGAUUCUCUCUCCUAGCUCUUUUGAAUGUCAGGUGCAUGAACUUGAGGAGUUGAAGACAUUAGAGCUUUUGAAAGGGAGAUUGCAAAGAAGAGAAGAGAAGAAGAAAGGAAAGCUCAUUUGGACAGAGUUGAGCUUGAGAUGGAGGGGAAUCACCACCAAGCUAGAGCUAUUGGCACCUAUGAUCUGCCUCAUAUCCAUGGGAAUAUGAUGGGCAUUAGAGCACCAGCUGUGGAGAACAAAAACUUUGAGAUCAAAUCCAGCUUGAUCAACAUGAUAGAGAACAACAAGUACCAUGGUCUUGCUUUGGAGGAUCCACUUAUUUGGACAUGUUUGACAAGUAUUGUGGUUUGUCCAAGACCAAUGAUGUCUCUGAAGAUGUUUUCAAGCUGAGAUUGUUUCCAUUCUCCCUAGGAGACAAAGCUCACACAUGGGAGAAGAACAUCCCAAGUGACUCUAUCACCACUUGGGAUGAAUGCAAGAAGGCCUUCCUCAACAAGUUUUUCUCUCCUUCAAAGACUACCAAGCUUAGGAAUGAGAUCUCUGGGUUUCAACAGAAGAAUCUUGAAGGCUUUGGAGAAGCAUAUGAGAGGUUCAGAGGCUACUUAAACCAAUGUCCACACCAUGGAUUCACCAAAGAGAGCUUGCUUAGUACUUUCUACAGAGGUGUCUUGCCUAAGUAUAGAAGCCGACUUGAUACUGCUAGCUAUGGUUUCUUCUUGGGGAGAAAUGAAGUAGAUGCUGAGGAGCUUGUAGAGAACAUGGUUCAGAGUGAUUCAGUCUACAGUGAUGAGCAUGAUAGGAGCAACAGAGGCAGUGAAGGAGAUGAUCAAGACACAAGGAGAGAGUUGAAGACUCUACAAGAUAAGAUGGAUUUUCUUCUUUCAGAUAGAGCCAAACAAGAGAAAGUAAACUUUGUUUGUGAUCAUAAACAAGAGGAAAUGGUUGUGGUUAAUGAAGUUGAUGGUCUAGAAGGUCAAAAAGAGCUAUGUUUCGUUAAUGCUAAUGGGACAUGGUACAAGAAGGAGCCUCACUUUCAAUACCAAAACAACUACCAGCACAAGCCCUUCUACAACAACCAACAAGGAAGUUACCAAGCUAGACAAAACUACUCACAAGGUUUCUCCUCCAAAGGAAAUCAGUCUCACAAGGCCAAGCCGAAUCUUCUACUCUUGCUCCACAAGAAAGUAGCACUGAUGCAAUGUUGAAAUAUAUCUUGGAGUCUCAAACUAGAAGUGAGAAGCACAUUGGAUAUGAGUUGAAGAACCUUCACACCAAAGUUGAUGGGAGCUACAAUGAUCUCAACAACAAAUUCUCAAACCUUGCUUCUAACUUCAAGGCUUUGGAGAAUCAGUUUACUCUAUGACUUCAACCUCCAAGCGCCCAAUGGGAUCUCUACAAGGGAAAUCAGAGCAACACCCUAAAGAGUAUUGCAAUGCUAUCCUUUUUCUUCUUCUGAGAUUGAGUUGAGUGAUCAUAGGAGAGAAGUAGAUGAGCUUGAAAGACUCUUGUAUGGAACAGAAGUUGUUGCCAAGGUUGAAGCACAUAUUGUGGAGAAGGUUGAACACAAGAUUGUGGAAAGGGUUGCGAUACAAACUGUAAAGAAGGUUGAGGAAAAUGUUUUGCAACCAGUUAGACAUAAGGCUGAGAAACCAAUUAUUGGGAAAAUUGCCACGCAAUUGAAGGAGGUCCAGUUAGAAGAAGCUAAUGAGGUUGAGCAAUCACCUUAUGACAAGCUCCCUUUUCCACAACGGUUCCUCACUAAAGCUCAAAAGAAGGUGAUCUCUAAGUUCAGAACAGACAUGGGAGAUGUAGGAGUCAAGCUUCCACAUAUAUCGAAUAUGCAUGAAGCUCAUGUCCAAAUGAUGCUCAUCAAGGACAUUCUAGCUCACAAAGAAGAAGUAGGAGAGAUCCUGGACAUCUCUACUAUGCAGCUUGAUCCACCAGUCACACCAAAGUACAUUCCCAAACAAGAAACCCAAGGGAAGUUCACCUUGUCUUGCUCCCUUGGUAAGUUCACACCUGAUGAUGCUCUUGUUGAUUAUGGUGCAAGUGUGAAUGUGAUCUCAAUAGAGAUGGUGAAGAGUCUUGGGAUUGAAAACAUGGAGCCAAACACAUCUUUUUUACUAAUGUUUGGGGAUUCCUCUUCUACAACCCCAAUCGGUCUCAUCAAGGACUUUCCAUUGAAGAUUGGAGCUUGCACCAUUCCUAUUGACCUCAUUGUUUUGAAGAUGGCAACUGAGAAGAGAGUCUCAUUAAUCCUUGGAACACCAUUUCUCACAAUAGUAGGAGCUUGCAUUGACUUUGCCAACAAGAAGGUUACACUUUUAAAUGUGAACAAAGCUGUCUCUUACCCAAUCAAGUCUCCUUUGAUGAAUGUGGAGUAUUGUGGAACCAUCACUUGUGGAGAACUUCCACAUGAGAAGAUCAAAAAUGAAGUGAUGGCUAGUGAAAAAUAAAUUCUUGAUGGAGAUUCAUCUCGUGAGAUCUGUGAUGAGCACUUGAAUAGUGCUAAAAUAGAGGAGGUGGGUAGAGCAACAAAGGCUACUCAUAACAAGAAGAAGAUGAUCAAAGAACCUUAUCCCACUCCUAUUGAGAAAUCUUCACACAUUCUCACUCUUUAUCCAAUGAAGAUCAAAGAUGGAGUGAUUGAGUACAAGAUCAAGUGCAAAGGAGAGUCUAAACCAUUCUCAAGUGCAAGGGCCAUCAUAACUCCUCAGCUCCAAUAUGAUCCAAUCAAGCUACAAUAACUCCUCUCUCAAGUCCUCACCAUCACCCUUGAAGGUGGGAAAGAUCCUCCUCUUCACUAGCCAAUUAGAAGGAACGUCAAGCUAAAGAUUCAAAACAAGCUCAUUUGGGAGGAAGUCCCAUGGUAUCCUUUGUAUAUAUUUCUAUAUAUUUUUUUCUUGCUUUAGUGUGUUUGAAUAAGCUUAGGGACAAGUUUUGGGGAAUUCUCAAAAAUUCCAAAAGGUAAUGUCGAAAAUUCCAAGGUAACAACAAGCCCUCCCUCCUCAUUUCCCUUCUCUCAUCAAAGCCAACUUCAAGUAAAUGCAUUCUACCUUUGUAAAUACUUAGUUAUCAUGUUUAUGUAUUUCCCUUAGAUAUCUUCUUUGAGCUUAUUCUAAUACAAGGGACUGUGUGAAGUAAGUUUGGGGAGAGUCUACUAUCUCACAUUGUGUUUUGUUUUGUCUAAUUGUCAUUGAGUCUCAUGCAUUCCAUUGUGCAUAUUUAUUUGCAUAGAAAACCCACAAAAAUUGAAUUUUUUUAAAAAUCACAAAAAGAAGCAUUUAGUUGCAUCAUUUGCAUCUUCAAGAUUGAGUCUAGAAGCAUUUAGAUUGCAUUCAUGCAUAGGGAAAAACCUUGUAAAGAACACAUGUCUAAAACUCAAUUUGACAUCCUAGCUAAGCAUAUCAAGUAGCUUAAGUAUCUCUUGAAAAAGCUUGUAACCUUCGAGCCUUGAAAACUCUUCUUGAAAUUUAUUGCUUGCUUGAUGAUUGACAUUGUUCUUGUAACCAACUCCAAAUGAACUAAGGCUUAAUGAACUUAAUCUCUCUUGCAUAUGGUUAUUUGCAUACUUGAUCAUGGAUAUUAUACAUAUUUGAGUUUUUUUUCUCUCUUUGUACCAAUCUUUGCUAACCCAAAUGGCACUUCCAUACCCAUUAACCCUCUCCAUUCCUUGAAGCCAACAGUACUUUGCUUGAGUGAUGUCUUUUAUUGAUAGCAUGUCAUGUGCAAAAUCUUGAGAGUAUUAGGAGCGAUAAUGGGUUGUUCUCAUCUUUGGCUAGCAUUAGGAUUUCAUUUGAGCUAGCCUCUAGGAUGGUUGUUGGGUUUGUGAGCUUAAAAUUCUUUUGAUCUUUGGAACUAGAGAGAUUGAGUGAGAAAAAUGAACCAAAAGAGUGCUUAAAGUAAAGAAACCCCUAGGGACAAAGAAAUUUAGAAAAUAAAAGCUCUAGAGUAUAAAUAGAACCCCCUCAUAAAAAAAAGAGAAUCAAAGAAAUAAUAAGUGACUGGGGAGAAGAAAAGAAAAGAGCUGAGCCAAAAAGAUCUAAAGUCUAAAUAAAAAAAAAGUCCCUAGUUGGUUUAAAUCAAUGGAGAGAAAAGAGUGUUCAUUGGGUGAAAGAUGAAAGUGUGUGUAUUUUGGGUUUGAGAAUGAAAAAAAAAGAUGGGUAGAACUCGAGACUAUCUAAGAAAAUGGUAGAAUGAUGAGAACAAAGCAUUGUAUGCAUGAAUUGCUCAUUUUCUUAGAUAAAUUUUGCAUAAUGAUCUUGCUCUUAUUCUUGAGUGUAAGUCACCAAUAAAAGAUGCAUUUGAAAACCUUCUUUCUUCACAUUAGACCACCUUCUCUCACCAAGUCAAAUGAUUGAGAUCAAAUAUGUCCAUUUGCAAGAAUUCACCUUGUGUGUGUAUGUUUGAAUAAAUGUGAGAGUUGGCUAAAGAACUUGUUGGUUUAAUGGCAUUACAAUUUGUGUAGAGGAAUAAGAGUUUUGAUAGGCCUAAAGAAGUUAGAGUGAACUAAGAGAGUUGCUCAUGCUAUUUGCUAGGUUUCUCUUAGGAUGUCACAUUGAAAGUUAGAAAGUGCGUCUUUCGGUUAUUAGCUCCCAAUUUUAAAUAUCUCUCUCUUGAUUGUUCUUAAAAUUCACUUGUGGACAAGUAAAGGACUUGUGUGGGGGAGUUGAUAACUCAUGAUUUUAAUGGUCUUUAGCAUCUUAUUUAGUUCAUUUUAAUCAUUAUAGGUUGCAUUUAGGUCUUAAUAUUGCAUUUACACGCAUAAUUGCAUAAACAUGGUCUAAAGUGCAUAUUUGAGAAGUUUGGGGUCAAACCGUGAGGUUAUUCUUACAAAUUAUAAAGUUUGGGGCUCAAUUGAAAGCAUCCAGAAGUUCAAGGACCAUUCGCGCUAUUAUGGAAGGUCUGCAAGAUUAAAAUAUUUGAGGCUGGAUCAAAAGGAUGUUUCUGACAAUUCAAUAGUUUCGGGGUCAAAUCGUAAUUAUCUGAAACGUGAAGGGCCAGAUGUGCAAAUAAGGCUGAGAUCACCAUUGUUGUUCUUCUUGCCCACUUCGAUCCGCGACGGCGAGCUUGAUUCCGACGAUGAACACGGCCACGAGGAUGAAGCUGAGCAUGACGAAGAAGACGGAGAUGAGUGUAAGGCGGAUCGAGCAACGGGGAGAUACAUCAGAGCUUGACGGUUGGUUUUGGAGCUUCCAUAGCGGACUCAUGUCGAGGAAGAAGCUUGAAUCACGGUGGCUAGGAGCUGAGAGCACGAGGCGGAGGAGGAGACGACCGCCCAGUCGCGGGAUCUAACAAAACGCGGUGAUGUUUGGAGGAUUGCGACGGCUUGGCCAUGGCGAAGAAUAAGAAGUCAAGCUCAACUAGCGAUCUGCAGCGGGUUGUUACAGCGGUCCAAAGACACCGCUCGAAAUUCAGUGGGCUCGGACACGACCUCUGGUUGCGGGUCUGUGACACUGCGCGGCAGCGACCAUUGGGAGCGGGCACGAGACAUAGCUUACAACACGUCGAGCUUGCAGUGGUCACGGGCAGCGGGCUGAAGUGGUCGUUGUGCCUCACACGAUCCAUGAAGCGGGUGUUCGGAGCGGGAUGACGAAGCCGCUCUCA
Molecule: long non-coding RNA, 7425 nt
Filed under: Brassica napus (rape)
Lineage: Eukaryota; Viridiplantae; Streptophyta; Magnoliopsida; Brassicales; Brassicaceae
Description: long non-coding RNA (BNAP_LNC009901)
Source: RNAcentral